This 528-nucleotide ribosomal RNA is filed under the name uncultured bacterium. Its description in RNAcentral is "bacterial SSU rRNA". It matches the Rfam family "Bacterial small subunit ribosomal RNA", at positions 777 to 1304 of the family's 1533-position model. The record is from RNAcentral.
AAUAGAUACCCAGGUAGUCCACGCCGUAAACGAUGAGUGCUAGGUGUUAGGGGGUUUCCACCCCUUAGUGCUGCAGCUAACGCAUUAAGCACUCCGCCUGGGGAGUACGGUCGCAAGACUGAAACUCAAAGGAAUUGACGGGGGCCCGCACAAGCGGUGGAGCAUGUGGUUUAAUUCGAAGCAACGCGAAGAACCUUACCAGGUCUUGACAUCCCGCUGACCGCCAUGGAGACAUGGCUUUCCCUUCGGGGACAGCGGUGACAGGUGGUGCAUGGUUGUCGUCAGCUCGUGUCGUGAGAUGUUGGGUUAAGUCCCGCAACGAGCGCAACCCUUGUCCUUAGUUGCCAUCAUUCAGUUGGGCACUCUAAGGAGACUGCCGUACAAAUACGGAGGAAGGUGGGGAUGACGUCAAAUCAUCAUGCCCCUUAUGACCUGGGCUACACACGUGCUACAAUGGGCAGUACAAAGGGCUGCGAACCCGCGAGGGGGAGCCAAUCCCAAAAAGCUGCUCUCAGUUCGGAUUGCAGG